Theobroma cacao (cacao) is the source of this 351-nucleotide non-coding RNA. Lineage: Eukaryota; Viridiplantae; Streptophyta; Magnoliopsida; Malvales; Malvaceae. The record is from RefSeq and is a predicted model, not a curated record.
AGACUAGGAUUAGGAGUACAUCAACUCCUAGAACUGUUUACAAGUUGGAGUGGAGGCAAGGAAUAUAAAUACUCCGUGCAAUACAGUAAAGGAUUGUGCCGAUCCAAUCAAGUGCGAGUGUCGUAUAAAUUUGUGUUUUUGCCAUCCUGCUAUGCCAGACUUCAUCACCAAUACUGCAAACAAGAAUAUUCAAGUAUAAAGAGAUGCAACCAAAAAACAAAACAAUAACUUAUAUGCUAAGAAUGUAGCAAAUGAAACAAAUCUUGAAUAAAUCGUAUCAUAAGAAGACAUUGUCUUUCUCAGAUGUUGAUAUGAAUAUAAUAAAUUAGUUUCAUAACGAAUGACCCAAAA